This 485-nucleotide ribosomal RNA is filed under the name Speleomantes sarrabusensis. Its description in RNAcentral is "partial 16S ribosomal RNA". It matches the Rfam family "Bacterial large subunit ribosomal RNA", at positions 1923 to 2597 of the family's 2925-position model. The record is from RNAcentral. Lineage: Eukaryota; Metazoa; Chordata; Amphibia; Caudata; Plethodontidae.
UUCAACGGCCGCGGUAUUAUGACCGUGCAAAGGUAGCGUAAUCACUUGUCUCUUAAAUAGAGACCAGUAUGAAUGGCAAAACGAAAGCUCAACUGUCUCCCCAGAUUAAUCAAUGAAAUUGAUCUUUCCGUGCAGAAGCGGAAAUAUUUUUAUAAGACAAAAAGACCCUAUGGAGCUUCAAAUUUAAAUUAAUUAUAUAUAUUAAAAAUAUAAUAUAUAAUUUAAUGUAAAAUUUUAGGUUGGGGCGACCGCGGAGUAAACUAUAACCUCCGAGAUAAUAAUCAAGAAAGACAUUUCAAGAUAAUAAAAUAGUUAAUACACUUGAUCCAAUAUUUGAUCAACGAACCAAGUUACCCUAGGGAUAACAGCGCAAUCCCCUUAAAGAGUUCAUAUCGACAAGGGGGUUUACGACCUCGAUGUUGGAUCAGGGCCCCCUAAUGGUGCAGCAACUAUUAAAGGUUCGUUUGUUCAACGAUUAAAGCCCU